CCUACGGGAGGCAGCAGUAGGGAAUCUUCCGCAAUGGACGAAAANUCUGACGGAGCAACGCCGCGUGAGCGAAGAAGGCNUUCGGGUNGUAAAGCUCUGUUGUUAGGGAAGAACAAGUGCCGGAGUAACUGCCGGCACCUUGACGGUACCUGACCAGAAAGCCACGGCUAACUACGUGCCAGCAGCCGCGGUAAUACGUAGGUGGCAAGCGUUGUCCGGAAUUAUUGGGCGUAAAGCGCGCGCAGGCGGCCUUUUAAGUCUGAUGUGAAAGCCCCCGGCUCAACCGGGGAGGGUCAUUGGAAACUGGAAGGCUUGAGUGCAGAAGAGAAGAGCGGAAUUCCACGUGUAGCGGUGAAAUGCGUAGAGAUGUGGAGGAACACCAGUGGCGAAGGCGGCUCUUUGGUCUGUAACUGACGCUGAGGCGCGAAAGCGUGGGGAGCGAACAGGAUUAGAUACCCUGGUAGUCCACGCCGUAAACGAUGAGUGCUAAGUGUUGGGGGGUUUCCGCCCCUCAGUGCUGCAGCUAACGCAUUAAGCACUCCGCCUGGGGAGUACGGCCGCAAGGCUGAAACUCAAAUGAAUUGACGGGG
RNAcentral lists this ribosomal RNA (590 nucleotides) under uncultured Bacillus sp. Its description in RNAcentral is "bacterial SSU rRNA". It matches the Rfam family "Bacterial small subunit ribosomal RNA", at positions 338 to 918 of the family's 1533-position model. The record is from RNAcentral. Lineage: Bacteria; Bacillati; Bacillota; Bacilli; Caryophanales; Bacillaceae.